AUCGAUGAAGAACGCAGCAAAAUGCGAUAAGUAAUGUGAAUUGCAGAAUUCAGUGAAUCAUCGAAUCUUUGAACGCACAUUGCGCCCGCCAGUAUUCUGGCGGGCAUGCCUGUUCGAGCGUCAUUUCAACCCUCAAGCACAGCUUGGUGUUGGGACUCGCGUUAAUUCGCGUUCCUCAAAUUGAUUGGCGGUCACGUCGAGCUUCCAUAGCGUAGUAGUAAAACCCUCGUUACUGGUAAUCGUCGCGGCCACGCCGUUAAACCCCAACUUCUGAAUGUUGACCUCGGAUCAGGUAGGAAUACCCGCUGAACUUAAGCAUAUCAAUAAGCGGAGG
Molecule: ribosomal RNA, 334 nt
Filed under: Fusarium oxysporum
Lineage: Eukaryota; Fungi; Ascomycota; Sordariomycetes; Hypocreales; Nectriaceae
Description: eukaryotic LSU rRNA
Rfam family: 5.8S ribosomal RNA (bases 1-123)
Source: RNAcentral